Molecule: small nuclear RNA, 22 nt
Filed under: Arabidopsis thaliana (thale cress)
Lineage: Eukaryota; Viridiplantae; Streptophyta; Magnoliopsida; Brassicales; Brassicaceae
Description: snRNA_18691
Source: RNAcentral
UAAGACAGCAGGACGGUGGUCA